AGAUUGGAGCUGCCUGUGACAUGCAGAGGUGGAAGCACAGCCUCAGCUGUGGUGGACGGCAGCCUCUUUCAGCCCCCAGGUGCAUAACAAAGGCUGUCUUGAUUGUAUCUGUGAGAGUGCCAUGAUUUGGGGUUUUCUCUGUCGGUUUGGACCAGAUCAGAAAGCAAUUGGGACUAUUGGUGGGAGAAAGAAGCAGAAGGAGAUCCUGGAACCAAAAACACUUCAGCAAUGAAGACUGGAUUUUCUCUGAAAUGAACAACAAAAUAAAAUCUCUCCUGUAGAUCUCUAAAGCUCUGUGCAUACUUUGUCUAUGCUUUCUAGA
This 322-nucleotide long non-coding RNA is filed under the name Homo sapiens (human). RNAcentral describes it as "HSALNT0304521". The record is from RNAcentral. Lineage: Eukaryota; Metazoa; Chordata; Mammalia; Primates; Hominidae.